This 488-nucleotide ribosomal RNA is filed under the name uncultured bacterium. RNAcentral describes it as "bacterial SSU rRNA". It matches the Rfam family "Bacterial small subunit ribosomal RNA", at positions 29 to 507 of the family's 1533-position model. The record is from RNAcentral.
AGUGAACGCUGGCGGCAUGCCUAACACAUGCAAGUCGAACGGCAGCACAGCAGUAGCAAUACUGUGGGUGGCGAGCGGCGAACGGGUGAGUAAUACAUCGGAACGUAUCCUGUAAUGGGGGAUAACGUAGCGAAAGUUACGCUAAUACCGCAUAUUCUAUGCGUAGGAAAGCGGGGGACUCGCAAGGGCCUCGCGCGUUUGGAGCGGCCGAUGGCAGAUUAGGUAGUUGGUGGGGUAAAGGCUUACCAAGCCUGCGAUCUGUAGCUGGUCUGAGAGGACGACCAGCCACACUGGGACUGAGACACGGUCCAGACUCCUACGGGAGGCAGCAGUGGGGAAUUUUGGACAAUGGGCGCAAGCCUGAUCCAGCCAUGCCGCGUGAGUGAAGAAGGCCUCGGUUGUAAGCUCUUCAGCCGGAGAAACGACAUGGUUAAGUACCUCGUGUGGAGUGACGGUACCGGAACUAAGAAGCACCGGCUAACUACGUA